Molecule: non-coding RNA, 28 nt
Filed under: Rattus norvegicus (Norway rat)
Lineage: Eukaryota; Metazoa; Chordata; Mammalia; Rodentia; Muridae
Source: RNAcentral
GACAAGGACUGGCCAGUGCAGUUCAAGC